Molecule: ribosomal RNA, 229 nt
Filed under: uncultured bacterium
Lineage: Bacteria
Description: partial 16S ribosomal RNA
Rfam family: Bacterial small subunit ribosomal RNA
Source: RNAcentral
CACGCAGGCGGUCAGGCAAGUUGGUGGUGAAAGCCCUCGGCUCAACCGAGGAAUUGCCCCCAAAACUGCUUGACUUGAGUCCCGGAGAGGGUGACGGAAUUCCCAGUGUAGCGGUGAAAUGCGUAGAUACUGGGAGGAACACCAGUGGCGAAGGCGGUCACCUGGACGGGUACUGACGCUCAUGUGCGAAAGCGUGGGGAGCAAACAGGAUUAGAUACCCUGGUAGUCC